AGGGAAUCCGAACUUGCACUAAAAUGCAGUGGAAGACCGCGUACCCGAAGAGCGUAGUGCCCGGGGCGCCCUGGAACUCACCUGUGACAACGUAAAUCGAAUGAAAUGCCGUUUAGCCGUUUGCUAUUAGUUUCGGUUGUGAUUUGCCGAGUGAAGAUAUGAGACGAGCUUGGCCGCGUGACUGGUAACAACAUAAUGUGUCUUAAAAUUUUAUUUUCAUCAUCUUUUUGUACGGUAUAGCGGCGUUUCACUUUUUUCUGGCAUUGUAAACUGCAAUUGCUAGUUUGCCACCAGAGGGCCACGUAUCAAACCGAAACUCAAGAUGGCAGCUGUUUGAAAUGAAUGAAACAGCUGACCACAAACCGUCGCUUACCGAGCAUCCCCGUAAACUGACGGCAGCACAGUAUGCCUUGUAGGUAGUUGCUGUCUUGGUGCAUUCGCUGACACUAGUGUUGGAACUGAAGCGCAAAUAUGACUGCGUCUACGCUUGCAGCGAAUGGUGGACGCACGAUCGUCGGCCACUGAGCGUGGGUAAUCCCUGUAAAGUAGCGGUGGCAGUAUGUCGUGUUGAUGGUUGCUGUCUCGGAGAACUCUCCCAUGGUACUGCUGAAAUCGUUGUCAAUGGGCGCGCACCAGACAGUGUAUGCCUGGUCGUCACGACUGCGAUGCUUCGAGAGAACUUGCAACUCGAAUCGCCUCUAGUACCACACCGACAACUGUAUCGUCUGCUGCGUCGACGAAAUAUGACGUUCAACGGCCCACAAGUUCAAGAAGAGUGUACUGCAAAGCGUUUAUUCAUGAUGCUGAAUAAAAGAGUCCAGUGGCGGUCUGUACGUUUUCCUGAAUAUUUUCUACCCCUCUGCAGUCAAGCUUCCAGACGACAGUGUUUGUCCAUCACAGCGCCAUGGCACCACGGGACAUUGGCCCUCACAUAAACCAUCGGCAACAAGAAAUUAUAAUUAACUUUAUGGAGCGAAAUCCCCGUUUAGUGAAAUCAGGAGAUCUGGACCCAAAAUUCACAGCUCAGAGAAAAAAGGAAAUGUGGGAGGAGCUCGCGAAAUUGCUAAACGAUGCCGGCCCUCCCACAAAGCCCGUGGUGCAGUGGCGUUGUUGGUGGAACCGAUUUGUGAGUCGGGCCAGGGCGGACGCAGGAAACCUAUCCGCCGAGAUGAAGUAAGUAAACCAGGCGCGUAUGCUUUAGGGUAACGUCUGUUUCGAGUGUUUACGCAAACCACAUUGCAGGUCUACCGGCGGUGGACUCCUUGGGGGAGCGAAGGGCCGAGUGCUCGCCCUACUCGGGCCUGCGAGUACAGUACCGGUGCGGCCUGCGCCUUUCUUGAGCAGUCAAUGCGAAAGCGACUCCCAGCAACAGCAG
Dermacentor albipictus is the source of this 1375-nucleotide long non-coding RNA. RefSeq lists it as uncharacterized. Lineage: Eukaryota; Metazoa; Arthropoda; Arachnida; Ixodida; Ixodidae. The record is from RefSeq and is a predicted model, not a curated record.